Taeniopygia guttata (zebra finch) is the source of this 1167-nucleotide non-coding RNA. The record is from RefSeq and is a predicted model, not a curated record. Lineage: Eukaryota; Metazoa; Chordata; Aves; Passeriformes; Estrildidae.
GUUCAUUAUAUGUUCUAAAAUGAAUAGCUUUUUCCUUUCUAGUUUAUAGGAAAAAUAGUAUUUUUAUAACAGGAGUGAACCACAAAAUAAUGUGCCGUUUCCACCUUCUACACACAUUUAAAGAAAGCUCUGUUGGGAAGCAUAUGGAGGUCUGGCACUUUUUCCUCCUCCUCCUUCCAUGGAUUUAAAAGCCAGUAAUGACAGUUUACAGGAGCCUUUGUGUGCUGCCUCAUUGCCACGUGGAUGAUACAGGGAUGCAGGGCAGGAGGUGAUGAUUGCCAGUGCACACCUUCUGGGUGUGUUGUGCUGCUCAUAUUUGAAACAUGCAGUUUUCUCACCACACCUUAAAGAUCUGGUUUUAAUGGCUCUUAGGAAAUGCUGCUGCCUGAGUAGGACAUGCAGCCUAAACUAAAGGAGUGCUUGUGGUUUCUGUGAGCAAGGCAGAAGAGCACACAAGAUAAAAAUCAUCUUUACGUGCUUAGAACCUUUCAGUGCUCUGUAUGGUCCAUUCUCAAUCACCCUUCCAUGUAAUUAAUUGGUCACAACAGAUAAGCAAAACAGUUGUGUCUGAAGUAUUUUAAUUUAUUCUUUUCAGUUAUUAUAAAUAUAUAACUAUUCAGCUAUUUAUUAUUUUCAGUUAUUCUUUUGUCUUUCAAACUGCAGUGUUAUAAAUGUUUCUGUAAUGCUUUUUUUUUUUUUUUAAUAAUAUUUUUGUGAUAUGUUUUGAUCUCAGUAAAGCAGGCAGGGACUGUUUAAUUUCUGGGUUUAAUUUUAGUAAUUUAAUUUCAAAUAAGGAUAAAUGAUACAAAAUUCUCUGAGAGCACUCAGCGAUAUCUUUUUAAUUAUUCUUUUAAAUAUUUUUGGAAUUCUCCUUUCUUUGGAGGUGGCAGUCAACAUGGAUAGUGCUGUGAGAAAACUGAACCAGACUAUUGGAUCUUGAAGCUGAGUCUGUUCAGUAGGAAAUUACUGGAAGAAACUGUGGUACAUUCCCUUGACCUGUGUGACAUUCUCAAUUCUUGCCUUAGUCCAGGACAUUUUUACCAUAAUCUUGUAAGGGAGUGAAGCAAACUAUUUACAGAUUUAAACAUUUUAUCCAUUAUUUCCCCACUGUUACUGUUCCCAAAUGAUGACAAGUUUUACAAUAACAACACAAAGUUGCAGCUUUAA